RNAcentral lists this ribosomal RNA (254 nucleotides) under uncultured bacterium. RNAcentral's name for it is "partial 16S ribosomal RNA". It matches the Rfam family "Bacterial small subunit ribosomal RNA", at positions 524 to 776 of the family's 1533-position model. The record is from RNAcentral.
GACGUAGGGGGCGAGCGUUAUCCGGAUUCACUGGGCGUAAAGGGCGCGUAGGCGGCUACGUAAGUCCGGCGUGAAAUCCCACGGCUCAACUGUGGAACUGCGUCGGAUACUGCGUUGGCUAGAGGACGGUAGAGGCUAGUGGAACUAGCGGUGUAGCGGUGAAAUGCGCAGAUAUCGCUAGGAACGCCGGUGGCGAAGGCGACUGGCUGGGCCGAUCCUGACGCUGAGGCGCGAAAGCUAGGGGAGCGAACCGG